RNAcentral lists this ribosomal RNA (351 nucleotides) under Neopachylus imaguirei. RNAcentral describes it as "partial large subunit ribosomal RNA". Lineage: Eukaryota; Metazoa; Arthropoda; Arachnida; Opiliones; Gonyleptidae. The record is from RNAcentral.
CUCAGAUCACGUAAUAUAUUAAAGGUCGAACAGACCCUCCUUUCUUAAUUUCUUCACCAAAAAUAAAAAUUAAUUCAACAUCGAGGUCACAAACUUAAUUAUUAAUAAGAACUCGCUAAUUAAAUAAUGCUGUUACCCCUAGAGUAACUUUUUAAAUUCUUAAUUUAAUUUAACAAAAAUUAGUCUCUUCAAUAAUUUCCCCAAUCCAAAAAUAUUUAAAUUUUUAAGCUUCUAGGGUCUUCUCGUCCCAAGGAAUUACAAAAGCAUUUUUACUUUUAAUUUAAGUUCAAAUUUAUAUAAUAAAACCUUCUUUUUAGUUUCUACCCUUCAUUCCAGUUUACAAUUAAAAAA